AUCAUGUAUUUCAAUAUUUACAAUUAGUGGUUUCUAAGUUCUAUUUGUUUUUUAUUUCACAUUUACUAACACAAUAACAUUUUUACCUAACAAGUUUACAAUUUUUUGGACAUUUUUGUUGAGUGAAACUUAUUUUAUUCAUUCUUAGGUUAAGAUAACCUUUUUUUUGUAAGAGUUUAAGAUAACAUUUUUACCGCUACACACCGAAGCUUCUAUGGCUGUAAUCAUCACUGAGACGUCACAAUACUCAGGUUAGUUGAAAAUAGGAGAUCUUCCAUGGAUCCUUCGACAAAAUAUCAUCACACUUGGCGUUUUAUC
Non-coding RNA from Lupinus albus (white lupine), 318 nucleotides. The record is from the annotation of a GenBank genome assembly. NCBI's taxonomy places the organism in Eukaryota, Viridiplantae, Streptophyta, Magnoliopsida, Fabales, Fabaceae.